CAGGGUUUGGCAGCGCUGCUUUCCUGCAGCAUUACCUGCCUGCUUCCUGGGGCCCCUCUCCCCAAGGCCCCCAAGUGAGUCACAUCCUCUCCUCAGGCUCAGCCCCCUGGCCCUGCUGCAGAGGCAGCAUCUUUCUCCCCCAGCCGGAGGUGAGCGAGCGCCAUCGGGAUGCUGCCGCUGCCGGUCCUGGCCCUGGCUGCAGCCUGGUCACACGCGUUCCCCCUCUCAGGAGGGCAGUGUGGGGAGCAGCAGCAAGCGGCUCUCAUGCAUACGACCAUGAGCAGGCGGCUGGCAGUGCUCAUUGUAUUACUUUCUCUCCUGUCCAAUGGACAAGCACAAGUGCUGCUGCAACAGCGUCAGCCAUCUCUCACCAAAAGGACGUCUUCGACAGCAGUGAUCGAUUGCAAAGUCGAGGGCAUAGAUGACUUCCAGGAUGCUUACAUCCACUGGUACCGACACAUACCCUCCAGGGCUCCCGAACGGCUUCUGUAUGUGACCUCAACAGCACAGAUUUCCUACGACAAGGAUUCCUACAAGGACAAGUACCACUCUUCUAAAAGAGGCAAAAAUACCUGCACCCUGUCAGUCAAAGACAUACGUGAGGAUGAUGAAGGUACCUACUACUGUGCCUACUGGCAGUCUCACAGAGCGAGACGAUCGUAGGCAGCCUGUACAGAAAGGCGGUUGCAGCCUGAGUGGCAGGUGUCCUCUCAGAUGCAGGGAACCAACAUUACCUUCCUGCAGCCACCUCUCAGCUCCUCAAACGUCCCUCCUGGGGCAUCCCUUCCACUGAGGAAGGAAGUAUGAAGAGUUGACAAAUAGAACAGGCAAGAAACGCAGUGCGCUGCAGCCUCCGCGGGCAAAAUGCACUGGGGUGGGGCAAAGGAGCACCCCUGUGGGUGAUGACAAAGAGAGGCAGCACUGCUUACACAGUCUUUGCUGAAGGUGGAUGCUUUCCCAACAUGGUCUGAGCUAGCAAAAAAAGAAACAACAACAACGUCAAGGGAAGGGAGGGAGCACAGAUGGGUUGUAUUUCCAGUGAAGGUCUAUCCUGGGAUCCCUGCAGCCAGCCUGCAGGAAAACAGCUAUGCAAAAAAGGACCUGGCUGGAUGUCUAGUGAAGGAAUGAGAGUAAACGUCGUGCCCUUGCUGCCAAGAUGGCUGUCAGUACCCCGAGCUGCAUGAGGCAAAGUGCUGCCAGCAGGCUGGGGGAGGUGAUCCUUUCCCUUUGCUUGGCAUUUGGUUGGCUCCACCUGGAGAGCUGAGUCCAGUUCUGGGCUCAUGAAGGGACUGAUGAAGCCAGGGAUAAAAGAAUGGGGGCUUGCUUAAUCGCAUUAAUGAUUUCUAAAUAAAACAAUCAUAAUUAUUAAAGCCAGGAAAGAAAGAAUGGGGGCUUGCUUAAUCGCAUUGAAGUAGAUAUUUCGGAGUGUCUUUUCUUACUAGCCAAAAUAAGGAGUCUUGGGGCCCCUCACAGAAGAUGUUUCCUGACAAAAUGGAGAACCUGUCUCAAAAACCACCUGAGACCGAGCUUGUGGUUUGGACAAGAGCCAAGGAGCAGCUGAGUCUGUACAAAGGCAGGGGGUCAACCAGUGGUGAUGAAGAGGAGUUAUCGGCCUUCAUCCCCACAAUCCCCGAUGACCACCACCAGAAGGCACUGCGCAGGCGCAGAUGGGAGGAGUUUAUGGAAAUGACUCCUUGGAGCUAAUUUUAAUACAAAGCGGGGAUAGGUUAUGAAUAUGUAUAGGCAUAUUGGGAAACUUCAUGUGUAUGUAACUUUUUACUGCAUAUAACCAAAGCAAGUUGCCGUGUUAAGGUGCGCAUGCCUUUGGGAGCUGUCCCGCAUGUGCCCGGCACCAAAAUAAACCACAUAGCUACUUUAUAACUCGUUUGCUUUCAGUUACAGAUUUCUUCCAUAAGUGAUUUUGGCGAGCCAGCCAUGAGGCUCUCUGCCUGCCCACAGGAGUGGCCGCGCUGUGGACGUCCUAGCGCGCACUGGGUACAAUUCCCUGGAGGAACUCUGCUCCUCAGCUGCUCUCUGUGGGGGCAGACCAUGACCUGCUGGACUGUGGACAAAUGGUAUGUGUAACAGUACAGGAAGGGCAUGUAAGUUGUACAUGUGUCUGGGGCAGCUGGUAAAUCGCGCGGAGACAUCUGGCCUGCAGCUUAGUUCCUGUAAGGGAGGAGGGUACCCUACAGGCUGACCAAUAGACUAGUCAACGGGGAUUUGGUGGCCGAUGGAACAGCCACUUGUGAUCUUUUGGGAGUAGAUAGAGCAAAUCCAAGGUUACCACUGCAUCCUGGUUUUGGGGGCCAGGACAGACCAGCUAAUGACUAUAAGAAACAGAAGGGUAAGCUGGCCUCUCAUAAUUGUGACAAGUUUACCUGGGUCAUGUUUGCAGCUGCUGGAGGGAUAUUAAUUGGAGUGUUACUAAUUGUAUGUAUUAUUUGUAGAUGUCUGGGUGUCUCAUGUUGAAAGCAUUUGUAUAAGUGUAUGUGUUUGAGGCAAAGUAUUGUUGUAAAGUGAGUUACUCCGUGAGGAACACAGCCAGAGAUGAUACAAACAAGUUUGCUUAAGUGAUAUAUUCUUUUGGUAUGACUGAGAAGUGCACGGGGCCUCUCUGUGUGAUUGCAUGAUUGUGCUGAGUGAGUGAGAUGCAGCAUCACUGGGAAGCGUGUAUGGAGUUCAGAUCCGUGGUUCCGUAUUCUCCGCGAGGGGAGCGUCCAAAGAUGAAUGAAAAGCGUGACAGACCGAAAAAAAGUGCUGUUUUAUCCAAGGGUUGACUGGUGAUGCCCAAAAUUCAGGCCCAGCAGUGCACCUUGUAAUCUUAUUUUUUGUGUUUAAAUGUUUUGAGUGUGACAAGUAGUGGGAGUAUUAUCUGAGUAAAAGUUUAGAAGUUUUGGUAUAUUCAUGGUGGUGUUUGGUCAGUGUCCCAAGUAUUAAGGGGGAAGGGGGUGCUGAUCAUCAAAGCGGUAUAAUGGAGAGUCACUUCUUUGGUGGUUCAGGCUUGAGUCCUGGGAAUUUGGUAAGAAGGGGGAGAGUAAAUUUAUUUAGGCCUCAAUACCUUUUUAAACCCCUAUACUGAUGGAUAUGUAGGAGUGAUUCCUUGGUUGGUGGGGGCUUACUAACAAAGUGCAUGAGAAAAAUUGGCAUUCAGCUUGAAAUUCAGUCCUGCUGAAAGGUAAAUUUUGUGAAAAAGAUGGUAUUGUUUGUCUGGAAGACAGAGGGCUGAGUACUUCAGGUGUUCUCCCAAAGCCCUGUGGAUUUAUGAGUGGAACAGGGCUCACUAAGAAUCUGAAACAGUAAAGUUUGUAUGUGUAAGGAAGAGUUUAAUCCCAGGCAACUGGGACGUUUGGGAAUAAGAUUAGGAAAAGAUAGUAAAAACCUGCAAUAAAAAGGUUUGCGUGGAAAUUGAAACAAGGGACACCAACUAAUAAGGAAUAGUAAUAAAUACAUAAAUAAAAGGGAAUGGGAAAUCAAGGAAAUGGGUAAUAUCCAAAGCAAAGACUUUUUAAAGAAAGCCUCCUUGGAUGCAUAUUGGCACACUGGAUGGAUAUUGUUAGAAAUGGGGGCACAGAAAACAAGAGGACUUUCACCAAGUAUUGUAAUCUAUGGUGGCCACUAUAUAAGCUAAAUGGCCACUUUAUGGAUCAAUUGACUGUAACACUAUCUAGCAGUUAAUGUUGUUUUAGAGGAGAGAAGGAAAAUAGGAUGAAAUGUUGCAUACUGAUAUGUUGUUUGAACAUCUUAGAGGGAAUAGGUAUGGAAUUAGGUUGGCCCCUGACUGAGCCUUCGGUGUUGGUAUGAGAAAAGUACAGGCUGGAGAAAGACAAAAGAAGUGUUAAAAGGGCUGUUGAAGGUGUUAAAAGGUGUGGCAUGUAGUAUUUGACAGAGCUGUUUGAAGUUGAAUGAGCAGGGAAAGAGGAUGGAGGAAUGUUAGUAGUUCUGCCUCAAUCAGAGGCUGAGAUCUCAAAAUCACGGGUGUGAGCCCUCUGGGGUAGAGGGAUCAUGGUGGGUCCAAGAGAGUUGUCAUGGAAACAGGAAAAGGCAUUUUUAUUUGCAAUGCUUGAAAUUUAAAUUGGGAAAAAUGAUUGGAAUUCAUCAAUUUUUAUACUUAUCCAAUUUGCUGAGGCCCUUCUUAGGAAGGGACUUGCUGGGAAAACUGGAUGCAAAAAUUUCUUUUGAACAAGGACAGUCAAGUUUGGUUCAUGGUACUAGAUUGAAGGGAUGCAUUUUUCUGCCUUCCCGUGGCAACUGAAAGCCAGAAACUCUUUGCCUUUGAAUGGGAAAAUCCUAACAGAGGACGACAAACUCAGCUUACUUGGACUGUGCUACCACAGGGGUUCAAGAAUAGCCCCAACCAUAUUCAGGAAACAACCAGUCUGUGAUCUUGAAGCGUGAAAGACCUCUUCAGGAAAAGGGGACACUGUUGCAAUAUGCAAAUGAUAGCGACUGAAGAAGAAAAGGAAUGGGUAUAAAGGACUUACUGAUGGUUUUCAGCACUUGUUCUGUGAACCCAGCCUCUUUCCUUACUCAUGAUUGCAUGAAGACCAUGGACACAGUAUACUCCAGCUGACCAGACUUAAAGGAUACAUCCCUAGAAGAUGUAGAGGAUUUGUAUAUAGAUGGCAGCAGCUUCGUCCUCCAGGGAUUUUGCCUCACAGGAUAUGCAGUAACAAACAUCAGCCCCAGUGGUGGAAAUCAUCACCUUGAUAAGAGCUUUUGAGCUGGCAAUCAUUUGGACAGAUUUGAAAUAUGCCUCUGGUGUGGUGUAUGCGCAAGGGGAAAUUUGGAGGGAGAGAGAACUUUUAUCUAACCUCAAUUAAAUGUGCAGAAGAGGCUGAUAGCAGUUAUUAGGGAAGAAGGAAAAAGGAGGUCUAGACAGGAACAGCCCUGGCUAGGCAAGGAUCAAUGUGUCUUAUGCAAGACUUUUGGGCAUUGGAAAAAUGAAUGCUUGGAAUAGAAAAGAAAUGGAAAAGAGAACCAGGGAAGGGAAGUGGUGUUUGCGCAUGCAAAAGAUGACUGGAGAAGACCGGGGAAAUCUAACCCAGCAGAUCCACUGGUUAUAAAAAUGAAGGGGGGAAAGGAGGUGGAAUGAAUGGUAGAUACAGGGGCAACUGAUUCAUUUUAAAUAAAGCACUAGUACCUGUAGGAAAUGAUUAUGUCAUAGUAAAUGUUAUGUCAUAGUAAAAGGAGCAACUGGCCAAUCAGAAAUGGCAUACUUUUGUAAACCUUUAAAGUACAAACUUGGGAAACAGUGGGACAGUCAAAUUUUAUAUAUGCCCAACUCUCCGGAAUCACUCCUGGGAAGGGACCUACUGGAAAAAUUACAAGCAACCAUAUCAUUUUAAAAUGGGGAGAUUGUUCUGGAGGUAGAUGACCAGAGGUAUGUGGAGGUAUUAAGCCUAAUGAUAUCAACAAACCCUAAAAUGAAGGAAGAGGUUAAUGAAGACAUAUUGAGUCAGGUAUUCCUGGGAAUAUGGGUAAAUGAAGUACCAGGGAAGGCAAAAAUGCUCCUCCAAUACAAAUCAAACUUAAGGAGAGGACAGCCACUACCUUUACACUGUGGUGGUGAACCCAUAUACUUUAUUAACGUGCUUAACACCAGAGCCAACCUAGUUUAUCAUUUUAGAUAUGAAGGAUGCCUUCUUUUGCCUCUCUCUCCAUGAGGCCAGACAGAAAAUCUUUGCAUUUGAGUGGGAAAGCCCUAAGAGUGGGUGCAAAACACAGCUCACAUGGACAAGGUUGCCUCAGGACUUUAAGAACUCGUCCACCUUGUUCGGAAAAAAACUUGCAAAGGACUUGGGACCUGAGAAGCCCCACCAGGAGAAGGAAGGCUGUUGCAAUACACAGAUGACCUCCUAAUAGCCACCCAGACAGAAGAAUCAUGUGUGGCCUGGAUGCUUCUUUCCUCAGAGUAAACCAAAGGGGAGCCAGUACACCACGACUGCCUGGAGACCAUUGACCUACUCCAGCCAUUUGUGGAAAUCUGGUUCACUGAUGGAAGCAGCUACGUCAGCAGUGGAAAACGACAUGCUGGGUAUGCAGUUACCACUUGCAAAGAGGUAAUAGAAUCUGGACCUUUGCCAACAGAUACCUCUGCACAAAAGGCUGAGAUAAUUGCUCUGACCCGUGCCUUAGAAAUAGCAAAAGGAAAGAAAAUAAACAACUAUACGGACUCAAGAUAUGCACUUGGGGUUGUACAUGCACAUGGAGCCAUCUGGAAAGAAAGAGGACUGUUGAACUCGCAAGGAAAAAACAUCAAACAUGCAAAAGAAAUAAUGCAAUUACUGGAAGCAGUUCAGCUGCCUGAAAUGGUAGCAACAAUGCACAUUAAGGCACACCAGAAGGUGAGCUCAGAAUUGGAGGAAAGAAAUGAUCUGGCGGACAGAGAGGCAAAAGAAGCAGCAAAAGGCAAGGUAACAACUGAGGGAGCCCUGAUUCCAGACAGGGAAAUUCGCCUAGAAGGUAAGCCAGUAUAUAAGAAAAAAGGACAGAAAAUUAACCGAAAGUCAAAAGGGAGAGUAUAACCACGAGGGAUGGUCUAUUACCGAAGAAGGGAAAGGGAAAUUAGUCACCCCCUCUAAUUUGCUAUGGUCACUAGUAAGGGAAGAACACCGGAAAACUCAUUGGGGAAUAAAUUCCCUAUAUAACUAUCUGAUUGGGAAAAUUAUGGCUAGGAAUUUGUAUGCUACUGUCACACUAGUAACCCGACAAUGUGACCUCUGCCUCCAGACCAAUCCCAAAAAUACCCCCAAACUGAAAUUGGGCCAAAUUGGGAAAGGCCAUGGGCCUGGAUAACAGUGGCAGAUUGACUUUUCAGAACUUCCAAGAAAAGGGGGGUAUCGAUAUUUGUUGGUAUCAACAGAUACCUUUUCAGGUUGGCCAGAAGCGGUACCCACUAGAACUGCCAAAGCCCGAGAAGUAAGCAAGGUAUUGCUACAAGAAAUAAUACUGCGCUUCGGAGUUCCAGUUACCAUAUCCUCAGACCGGGGACCACAUUUUAUUUCAAAUGCAGUGCAGCAAAUUAGUCAGUAUUUGGGCAUAGAUUAGGAACUGCACACACCAUACCACCCUCAAUCAAGUGGUCAAGUGGAGAAAAUGAACCAUUUGAUCAAACAACAAAUUGUAAGGUUAGGGCAAGAAGCUAACUUGUCCCAGCCCCAAGCUCUCCUGCUAGCAUUGCUGCAGAUUCAGUCUAAGCCCCGAACUAAAGAAAAAUUAAGUCCUUUUGAAACACUUUAUGGGAAGCCAUACAGGGUCCAGAAGGGAAUGUCUGCGUAGGCUGGGGAAGAGAUGCUGAUUACCGGUAUGGUAGCUUUGAGUAAACAACUUAGAGAAACAGAAAAACAUGUGGCUGGAACUCAGAGUAGAGAGCUGGGUGGACUGGUGCAUGACAUACAGCCUGGAGAUUAUGUAUAUGUCAAGUCUCUUGCAGAGAAAACGUUGAAACCACAGUGGGAAGGGCCAUACCAGGUGCUCCUUACUACCUUUACCACAAUUAAGAUCAUUAGGGAAGGAAGUGAAGGCAUUUUCCUGGUUGAAGUCUGAAAGGCUGUUUGGGACAAUGCUAACAAUUUUGAAAGAAAAUUUCAGUCCUGGUGGAUGCUGGUAAAUUUUACUUAUGACCCUAUCGCUCAUAUGGCUACUGCUUUUGUACUUACCAUACAUAAUGCCACAGUUUAUGUUAUUCACCCCAUUAUCUCACCAGGGUUAAAUCAUGAAGAAAUGGUACUUUACCCCUCUGAAAAUAGGACAUGGGCAAGGAUGGUAAGCGGGAAAUGGCAGACCGUAGAUCUGGAAUCAUGUGUUACCCGGGAACAAAAAGGAUUUCUCUGUGAAAGCAACACAAUUGAUGCUCAGGAUGUGUGUCUUGACACUGAACAAGGUGUUUGCCACUUUGAAAUUCAUCCAAAUACUAAUCCAAAGACAGUGCUUAUAUAUAUAGGUCAAGGCUGUGUGUGUUUAAGGACUGCAUGUACCUCUGUAGAAGUAGAUAAAGAAAAUAUAACUCUAGCUAGAAAAAAAUCAUUCUAACUUCUGUAUUUGUAACUUUGUUAGAAUUGUUGGAUGUGACUUUUUAUAUCUAGCACCAGUAGUAUCCCACCAGUUGAUUAAAUCUAAUAACACGCUGUAUAGUGCACUUUUACCAACACCAACUGGAAUGAACCUCACCUUCAUAAGACAAUUAAUCAAACACCAAGAUUUGGCCAGUAUUCUGAGAAGUAUCGAGGAAAGUGGCAAAAAUACAUUAAUUACUGUCCAUCACGACAUCAAGGAAAGAAGCAAGGUUCUACAACAGGUGAAACAAGAUGCUAGUCAUCACUGGUGGGAUGCACUCUUAGGGUGGUCACCAACAGAAAAUGGUAUUCUCAAUAUAUUGUGUCACACAAUCAUAUUCAUAUUGAUCUUAGUUGGUGUAAGUCUAGUAUUGACUGUAAUUGUACUAAUCUCGAAAUUAAGAAUGUUCUACUGGACAGCCACACUGAUUUUUUGCUGCAUGUCCAUGGUAUGGCAUUAAGUGAUCAGUACCAAGUUGGGAAUAUUUGCCGCAAGUAAAAGAAUUUGAUAAUCUUCUAGAAAAAAGGGGGACUGAAGCCAGGGAUAAAAGAAUGGGGGCUUGCUUAAUCGCAUUAAUGAUUUCUAACAACAACAAAAAAAAAUCGUAAUUAUUAAAGCCAGGAAUGAAAGAAUGGGGACUUGAUCUAUCACAUUAAAAUAGAUAUUGUUGUGUGUCUUUUCUUACUAAUCAAAAUAAGGAGUCUCGGGGCCCCUCACAGAAGAUGCUUCCUGACAAAAUGGGGAACCUGUAUCAAAAACCAUCUGAGACCAAGCUUGUGGUUUGGACAAGAGCCAAGGAGCAGCUGAGUCUGUACAAAGGCAGGGGGUCAACCAGUGGUGAUGAAGAGGAGUUAUCGGCCUUCAUCCCCACAAUCCCCGAUGACCACCACCAGAAGGCACUGCGCAGGCGCAGAUGGGAGGAGUUUAUGGAAAUGACUCCUUGGAGCUAAUUUUAAUACAAAGUAGGGAAAGGUUAUGAAUAUGUAUAGGCGUACUGGGAAACUUCAUGCAUAUGUAACUUUUUACUGCAUAUAACCAAAGCAAGUUGCCGUGUUAAGGUGCACACGCCUUUGGGAACUAUCCCGCAUGUGCCCGGCGCUGAAAUAAACUACAUACCUACUUUA
Non-coding RNA from Anas platyrhynchos (mallard), 9182 nucleotides. NCBI's taxonomy places the organism in Eukaryota, Metazoa, Chordata, Aves, Anseriformes, Anatidae. The record is from the annotation of a RefSeq genome assembly.